GGUUAAGUGACUAAGCGUACACGGUGGAUGCCUGGGCAGUCAGAGGCGAUGAAGGACGUACUAACUUGCGAUAAGCGCAGAUAAGGCAGUAAGAGCCGUUUGAGUCUGCGAUUUCCGAAUGGGGAAACCCAACUGCAUAAGCAGUUACUGUUAACUGAAUACAUAGGUUAACAGAGCAAACCGGGGGAACUGAAACAUCUAAGUACCCCGAGGAGAAGAAAUCAACCGAGAUUCCGGUAGUAGCGGCGAGCGAACCUGGAUUAGCCCUUAAGCACUCGGUGAAGUAGGUGAACAAGCUGGAAAGCUUGGCGAUACAGGGUGAUAGCCCCGUAACCGACGCUUCAUCGAGCGUGAAAUCGAGUAGGGCGGGACACGUGAUAUCCUGUCUGAAUAUGGGGGGACCAUCCUCCAAGGCUAAAUACUCCUGACUGACCGAUAGUGAACCAGUACCGUGAGGGAAAGGCGAAAAGAACCCCUGUGAGGGGAGUGAAAUAGAACCUGAAACCGUGUACGUACAAGCAGUAGGAGCACCUUCGUGGUGUGACUGCGUACCUUUUGUAUAAUGGGUCAGCGACUUAUAUUCAGUGGCAAGGUUAACCGUAUAGGGGAGCCGUAGCGAAAGCGAGUCUUAACUGGGCGCUCAGUCUCUGGAUAUAGACCCGAAACCGGGUGAUCUAGCCAUGGGCAGGUUGAAGGUUGAGUAACAUCAACUGGAGGACCGAACCGACUAAUGUUGAAAAAUUAGCGGAUGACUUGUGGCUAGGGGUGAAAGGCCAAUCAAACUCGGAGAUAGCUGGUUCUCCCCGAAAGCUAUUUAGGUAGCGCCUCGGACGAAUACUACUGGGGGUAGAGCACUGUUAAGGCUAGGGGGUCAUCCCGACUUACCAACCCUUUGCAAACUCCGAAUACCAGUAAGUACUAUCCGGGAGACACACGGCGGGUGCUAACGUCCGUCGUGGAGAGGGAAACAACCCAGACCGCCAGCUAAGGUCCCAAAGUAUUGCUAAGUGGGAAACGAUGUGGGAAGGCUCAGACAGCUAGGAUGUUGGCUUAGAAGCAGCCAUCAUUUAAAGAAAGCGUAAUAGCUCACUAGUCGAGUCGGCCUGCGCGGAAGAUGUAACGGGGCUAAGCAAUACACCGAAGCUGCGGCAAUGAAGUUUACUUCAUUGGGUAGGGGAGCGUUCUGUAAGCCGUUGAAGGUGAAUCGUAAGGUUUGCUGGAGGUAUCAGAAGUGCGAAUGCUGACAUGAGUAACGACAAAGGGGGUGAAAAACCUCCUCGCCGGAAGACCAAGGGUUCCUGUCCAACGUUAAUCGGGGCAGGGUGAGUCGACCCCUAAGGUGAGGCCGAAAGGCGUAAUCGAUGGGAAACGGGUUAAUAUUCCCGUACUUCUGACUAUUGCGAUGGGGGGACGGAGAAGGCUAGGUGGGCCAGGCGACGGUUGUCCUGGUUCAAGUGCGUAGGCUUGAGAGUUAGGUAAAUCCGGCUCUCUUUAAGGCUGAGACACGACGUCGAGCUGCUACGGCAGUGAAGUCAUUGAUGCCAUGCUUCCAGGAAAAGCCUCUAAGCUUCAGAUAGUCAGGAAUCGUACCCCAAACCGACACAGGUGGUCGGGUAGAGAAUACCAAGGCGCUUGAGAGAACUCGGGUGAAGGAACUAGGCAAAAUGGUACCGUAACUUCGGGAGAAGGUACGCUCUUGAUGGUGAAGUCCCUCGCGGAUGGAGCUGACGAGAGUCGCAGAUACCAGGUGGCUGCAACUGUUUAUUAAAAACACAGCACUGUGCAAAAUCGCAAGAUGACGUAUACGGUGUGACGCCUGCCCGGUGCCGGAAGGUUAAUUGAUGGGGUUAGCGCAAGCGAAGCUCUUGAUCGAAGCCCCGGUAAACGGCGGCCGUAACUAUAACGGUCCUAAGGUAGCGAAAUUCCUUGUCGGGUAAGUUCCGACCUGCACGAAUGGCGUAAUGAUGGCCACGCUGUCUCCACCCGAGACUCAGUGAAAUUGAAAUCGCUGUGAAGAUGCAGUGUACCCGCGGCUAGACGGAAAGACCCCGUGAACCUUUACUACAGCUUGGCACUGAACAUUGAACCUACAUGUGUAGGAUAGGUGGGAGGCUAUGAAGACGUGACGCCAGUUGCGUUGGAGCCGUCCUUGAAAUACCACCCUUGUAUGUUUGAUGUUCUAACUUAGACCCAUUAUCUGGGUUGAGGACAGUGCCUGGUGGGUAGUUUGACUGGGGCGGUCUCCUCCCAAAGAGUAACGGAGGAGCACGAAGGUGGGCUAAUCACGGUUGGACAUCGUGAGGUUAGUGCAAUGGCAUAAGCCCGCUUAACUGCGAGAAUGACGGUUCGAGCAGGUGCGAAAGCAGGUCAUAGUGAUCCGGUGGUUCUGUAUGGAAGGGCCAUCGCUCAACGGAUAAAAGGUACUCCGGGGAUAACAGGCUGAUACCGCCCAAGAGUUCAUAUCGACGGCGGUGUUUGGCACCUCGAUGUCGGCUCAUCACAUCCUGGGGCUGAAGUCGGUCCCAAGGGUAUGGCUGUUCGCCAUUUAAAGUGGUACGCGAGCUGGGUUUAGAACGUCGUGAGACAGUUCGGUCCCUAUCUGCCGUGGGCGUUGGAAGAUUGAAGGGGGCUGCUCCUAGUACGAGAGGACCGGAGUGGACGAACCUCUGGUGUUCGGGUUGUGUCGCCAGACGCAUUGCCCGGUAGCUAAGUUCGGAAUUGAUAAGCGCUGAAAGCAUCUAAGCGCGAAGCGAGCCCUGAGAUGAGUCUUCCCUGAUACUUUAAGU
This 2786-nucleotide ribosomal RNA is filed under the name Vibrio cholerae. RNAcentral's name for it is "partial 23S ribosomal RNA". It matches the Rfam family "Bacterial large subunit ribosomal RNA". The record is from RNAcentral. Lineage: Bacteria; Pseudomonadati; Pseudomonadota; Gammaproteobacteria; Vibrionales; Vibrionaceae.